GUUUGAUCCUGGCUCAGAACGAACGCUGGCGGCAGGCCUAACACAUGCAAGUCGAACGCUCGUAGCAAUACGGGAGUGGCAGACGGGUGCGUAACGCGUGGGAACAUACCCUUUGGUUCGGAAUAACUCAGGGAAACUUGAGCUAAUACCGGAUACGCCCGAGAGGGGAAAGAUUUAUUGCCGAAGGAUUGGCCCGCGUCUGAUUAGCUGGUUGGUAGGGUAACGGCCUACCAAGGCGACGAUCAGUAGCUGGUCUGAGAGGAUGAUCAGCCACACUGGGACUGAGACACGGCCCAGACUCCUACGGGAGGCAGCAGUGGGGAAUAUUGGACAAUGGGCGCAAGCCUGACUCCACGCCAUCGCCGCGUGAGUGAUGACGGUCCGUUAGGGUUAGUAAAGUCUU
This 403-nucleotide ribosomal RNA is filed under the name uncultured bacterium. RNAcentral's name for it is "bacterial SSU rRNA". It matches the Rfam family "Bacterial small subunit ribosomal RNA", at positions 11 to 435 of the family's 1533-position model. The record is from RNAcentral.